UACGUAGGGUGCGAGCGUUAAUCGGAAUUACUGGGCGUAAAGCGUGCGCAGGCGGCUUUGCAAGACAGAUGUGAAAUCCCCGGGCUCAACCUGGGAACUGCAUUUGUGACUGCAAGGCUAGAGUACGGCAGAGGGGAUGGAAUUCCGCGUGUAGCAGUGAAAUGCGUAGAUAUGCGGAGGAACACCAAUGGCGAAGGCAAUCCCCUGGGCCUGUACUGACGCUCAUGCACGAAAGCGUGGGGAGCAAACAGG
This 252-nucleotide ribosomal RNA is filed under the name uncultured bacterium. RNAcentral's name for it is "partial 16S ribosomal RNA". It matches the Rfam family "Bacterial small subunit ribosomal RNA", at positions 524 to 776 of the family's 1533-position model. The record is from RNAcentral.